Molecule: ribosomal RNA, 497 nt
Filed under: uncultured bacterium
Lineage: Bacteria
Description: partial 16S ribosomal RNA
Rfam family: Bacterial small subunit ribosomal RNA
Source: RNAcentral
GAUGAACGCUGGCGGCGUGCCUAAUACAUGCAAGUCGAGCGAACAGAUGAGGAGCUUGCUCCUCUGACGUUAGCGGCGGACGGGUGAGUAACACGUGGAUAACCUACCUAUAAGACUGGGAUAACUUCGGGAAACCGGAGCUAAUACCGGAUAAUAUAUUGAACCGCAUGGUUCAAUAGUGAAAGACGGUUUUGCUGUCACUUAUAGAUGGAUCCGCGCCGCAUUAGCUAGUUGGUAAGGUAACGGCUUACCAAGGCGACGAUGCGUAGCCGACCUGAGAGGGUGAUCGGCCACACUGGAACUGAGACACGGUCCAGACUCCUACGGGAGGCAGCAGUAGGGAAUCUUCCGCAAUGGGCGAAAGCCUGACGGAGCAACGCCGCGUGAUUGAUGAAGGUCUUCGGAUCGUAAAACUCUGUUAUUAGGGAAGAACAAAUGUGUAAGUAACUAUGCACGUCUUGACGGUACCUAAUCAGAAAGCCACGGCUAACUACGUG